Molecule: ribosomal RNA, 119 nt
Filed under: Pteropus alecto (black flying fox)
Lineage: Eukaryota; Metazoa; Chordata; Mammalia; Chiroptera; Pteropodidae
Source: RNAcentral
GUCUAUGGCCAUGUCACUCUGAACAAGUCCAAUCUCGUCUGAUCUCGGAAGCUAAGCAGGAUCGGGCUUGGUUAGUAAUUGGAUGGGAGACCACCUAGGAAGACCAGGUGCUGUAGGCG